GAUGAACGCUGGCGGCGUGCUUAACACAUGCAAGUCGAACGGUGAAGGCGGAGCUUGCUCUGCUGGAUCAGUGGCGAACGGGCGAGUAACACGUGAGCAAUCUGCCCCUGACUCUGGGAUAAGCGCUGGAAACGGCGUCUAAUACUGGAUACGAGCUGCGAAGGCAUCUUCAGCAGCUGGAAAGAACUUCGGUCAGGGAUGAGCUCGCGGCCUAUCAGCUUGUUGGUGAGGUAACGGCUCACCAAGGCGUCGACGGGUAGCCGGCCUGAGAGGGUGACCGGCCACACUGGGACUGAGACACGGCCCAGACUCCUACGGGAGGCAGCAGUGGGGAAUAUUGCACAAUGGGCGAAAGCCUGAUGCAGCAACGCCGCGUGAGGGACGACGGCCUUCGGGUUGUAAACCUCUUUUAGCAGGGAAGAAGCGAAAGUGACGGUACCUGCAGAAAAAGCGCCGGCUAACUACGUG
RNAcentral lists this ribosomal RNA (468 nucleotides) under uncultured bacterium. RNAcentral describes it as "partial 16S ribosomal RNA". It matches the Rfam family "Bacterial small subunit ribosomal RNA", at positions 28 to 507 of the family's 1533-position model. The record is from RNAcentral.